Molecule: long non-coding RNA, 852 nt
Organism: Fukomys damarensis (Damara mole-rat)
Lineage: Eukaryota; Metazoa; Chordata; Mammalia; Rodentia; Bathyergidae
Exons: 3
Source: RefSeq, a predicted model, not a curated record
GCGCGGAGCUCCGAGGACACUCUCCCUACUCCCGCGCUCGGCCCAGAAAGCCUAGGCACCGCCCUGCCGUUACCGGUUGGGAAAGAUCUGCGAGGCCCGUGAGGUCCCUUAUGGGCAAUAGUGCCACGCACCGUGGUGAGAGGCGGACGGCCACCCAGAGCCAGAGGGCCACUUGGGAAUGAGUCAGCCAGACUUUAAGUCGGAAACGCCUAGGCUGGAGAUGGGGACAGUCCUGAGACCUGGGAUUUCUCGGAAAGGCCGGCCUAGCCCCGGCUCCACAGCACAGUGCACCGAGCACCUUGCGAAGUGCUGAGUAACGGUGACUGGGAAGUAACUCUGUGCACGCCCUCACCUCCUUUCCGGAUUUUACCGACGGCUCUCUUCUGCCUUCCCUCCUCCUAUCCUUUGACCUUCGUGCUGAGCUCGCUGCUCCAGUGACACAGCAGUUUAAUGCAGUGCAGUCGAGAAGGCUGGGCGACUGACUGGGCUGUAGACCCAGACAGCUGCUUGUGAGAUUUUUGCUCUCCUCAGUUCAUACCAUUGUGUGACAUAUGACUCUCCAUGGAUGCCAGGGUCAGGAGGUCAGGGGAACACAGUUCUUGAAUAAGAAUCUUUAUCAGCAGAGUGGAACUGAAGAGACAACACAAUUUCAAAAUGAACAAAACACUGCAAAAAAAAAAAUGAAUCAUAAGUAACUUUCAUCAGGUAUGAAGUCAUUGUUAUUUUGCUGAUAAGAGCUAUAUUUACUCCAGGAAAACAGAGAGCCUGAUUCAUGUUAUAAGUUUAUUGACUCAAUAAAAGUAUUUCUGAGAAUUCAUGAAUGAUGGUUUGGAAGGGCAAUCUCUACACAGA